UUACUGAGAAAAAUAUUCAAUCGGUUAUACAUUUUCUUAAUCUGGAUAAUCGUUUAAAGCUUGACAAAUAUUUCAUAACACAGUUUUAUUUUCUCUCAAUCGAUUUAUAACUAUUGAACAGCGGUAUCACUACAAACCAGUAAAAGUCUGAAAUAUCUGUACUCAACUGUACUGAACUUUACUCAACCAGUCUGAAUUGGUCUGAAAUUUACUAGAUAAAACUCGACUGUAGUCUUAACCAUACUUCAUAGUCUGAACUUGUACGUAACCAGUUUAAAUGCGUCUAAACCAUGCCUUACUUAGUCUGAACCAUACUCGACAUAGUCUGAACCAUACUAGACCUAGUCUAAACCAUACUCGACAUAGUCUGAACCAUCCUCGACCUCGUCUGAACAAUAUUCGAUCAGGUUUUAACCAACUUAGACCAUUUCUUUUGUAUCUAUACAUUGUACUUUUUUCAAUUUAGGAAGUGGAAAUUUAGACAACAAUAACAAAUUAUAAAUUAAUUUUAUUUAGCAUUUAAACCAAAUUUCACAAUAAACAUAAUCUUACCGUAACACCAUAUAUAUAACAUUUAAAAAAAAAGAUAAAACAAACUGAUCAAAUUAUCUCAAAAUUGAAUUGUGACUCAUAUUUUCAAUGUCAUUCAAAAAUUUUGAAUCUUUCAGAUAUAUUUUAUUAUUUAAUACUGGACAAUUUUAAUCAUUUAAACUUAAUUCGCCUAAUAUAGAUUUACGGUGUCAGUUGAGUAAAGUAAAUAAUGAGGUGAUUUUUUGUUUUUAUAAUGAAAUACUUAUACCUGUAAAAUAGUAAAUAAAGCAACUUUCAAAAAUGACACCUUUGUUUUGUAAAACAAUGAAUUUAUAAAAUCAUUAUAAAUAACUUUUACGGAAGCGUAUUAGCGCCACACACUUUUUUUUUAAAUUUUUCUUCCUAUGUUUGCGUUGUAACGCAAACCUUUGCGAAAUAACGCAUACUUUUGCGUUAAAACGUAAACCUUUGCGAUAUAAUGCAAACAUUUGCGUUAAAACGCAAACCUUUGCGUUAUAACGCAAACAUUUGUUUUAUCUUAUUUCUUAUUUAAGAUUCAAAGGAAACAGUAGUUAUUAAUGGAGGAGGCUGUAUAUAUUAAAAUUUAUCACCUUUGUAGUCAUUGCAAAGUAAAAUGCUUGAAUAAUUAUAUCAUAUCAUUGACUAAUAAUGAGCAGAAUAAUAUAAGAAGAUGUGGUAUGAGUGCCAAAAUGAAAAAUCUCCAUCUAAGUCACUAUUCGUAAAAGUAAACCAUCAUAGGCCAAAGUACGGUCUUCAACACGGAGCAUUGGCUCACACUGAACAACAAACUAUAAAGGCCCCAAAACGAUAUCCAUGUUACUACUAGUAUAUAAAUUACAAAGAAAAUUGAGUAAAUUGAUGUUAUCCCUAAGAAAAAAAUCAACCCUGCUAAUAUAGCUAUAACCGAAUAUAAAUAUACUUCCAAAGUAAGCUCUGGUUUGAGAACUGUGUAAAGUAGGUUAGAUUCAAACAAGCUACCCUUUGACAAUAAAUGUAUAGAAUGAAGAUGUUUUAUUAACAAAAUUAUGUUCUCUCUAUUCAAAUUGCUAUCCAAGCAUCUUAAAAAUACUUCAUUAUAUUGAAAUGAAAAUGCAAUGACUUUCUAUCAAAGAAUCUUGAUCAUAUUCUGAGAUUUAAAAAAAAUGUUUCGAAGACGAAGAGCUAUAAUCCAAAAGGUCCAAAAAGGUGUAGCCAAAUCCGUGAAAGAAAUCAGAGCUGUGCAUGAGGGUAAAAGUUUAGUUUUUAGGUAAAGGAAUUUAAUCUUCUCUAUUUGAUAAAUCUGAGAAUCAUGUAAGGAUGAAAAAAUCUAAUUUUAUAUAUAUAUUUAUAUCUUUAUUUUAUUGUGGCUGUUGUUAUGAAAAUUAAAAAUAGAUUUAUUCGGGUAACAAUUAAGAUUUUAAAAAAAAGUCGGGAUUAUUUGGUCAAGUAUGGUUCAGACAGGUCGAGUAUUGUUCAGACAUUUAGUCGAGUACGAUUAAGACUGAACAAAUAGGUCGAGUGCAGGUCAAAAACCGGUUAAGACUGUUUCAGACUGGUCGAGUAAUACUUCAAACUAUUUUGAAUGUCAAAGAUAAGGGUCGAGUACAAAACAGUACAGUCGAGUACGAUUAAGUCUAGGGUCGCGUAAUGUAUUAAAAUUCAGACCAAUUCCGACUGGUCGAGUAAAAAUCAGUUCAGUCGAGUACAGAUAUAGGCCAUUUCAGACUGUUACUGGUUUGUAGUGUAUAUUACUAUUGUCGUUACUUAUUAUGUAAGUCAUGCUUUUGAGGUUGGAUAUGAGACUUUGUAUGAGUUGGUCUAACACAAGUUACUAACAAAUUGAAAACAACACGUUUAAUAAUUUCUUGCGUCCGAAGCUCUUUCCUGCAUUUACUUCAUCAGGAACGCUUAAAGCCAAACAUUUGAAAUCCGAAGAUGAAAAAGUACCGAAACCUUUGAAGAGCUAUAUGUCAAAAAUACCUAAAAUAAAUAGCCAAAUUCAUCUAAAGCUAACUUUGCAUGAGGGAGUUGAAACCUUAGUUUCUUAAUAAUUUCAAAAUUUAUAAACGGAUAAUUUCAGUAAAGUUUGUUAAAUCAUGUCACCACCGAAGAAGUACUGACUACUGAGCUGACGAUACCCUCCGGGACUGAUAGUCCACCUGCAAAGAUAUCGACCCAGUGAAUUACAACUCAUGGUUAUAACAUGUUGAUAUAUUUGACCUCUUGUGUAAUAUGCUUGAUUUACAUUAUCUGACAUGUUGUAUACUAAGAUAACGUUUUAUCAAAUAUGCAAGAUAAAUUUAUGCAUUACAAUAUUUGAUUUCAAGAUUUUAUCAAUGAGAUUAAUAUCCCGAGGAUUGGGUUAGUAAAACAAUACUUAUCGGAAACAUACACUGUACUUCUGUACGCAGAUUUUCCUGAAAUCCAAAUAAUUAAUUUGGUAAUUUUGUUCUUUCUUCAAAAUUACCAAAAUAUGUAAAGUAGACUUUGAUGAGUAAAUAUUAACAAAAUGUCAAGAACAACAAAUAUAAUGUCAAAAACUUGAAAGCCGAUGUAUAAUUCUACAAAACGUGCGUAAUGUUGUGUCGUUGUUUUCCUCUAAUAUCUAAUGAGUUUCCCUCAGUUUUAGUUUUGUUACCCGAUUUUGUUUUUUGUCCAUAGAUUUAUGAGUUUUGAACAGCGAUAUACUACUGUUGCCUUUAUUCCGAUAUUCUGAUAACAACGGAGUGUGUAUAAAACAUCCAUUUAAUUUGAUUUAAAAGAAAAUACAAUAUUGUAACAAUAGGAUACCUUGAAUCAUAUAAAGCCAUAACAAAGUUUUUGGUACCCAUCUUUAAGACAGCUAUAAAAUUAUUUUCAAAUCGAAAAGAUUCUCAUUUAAUGGAAUGUUCAAGGUGCUAUCGAUACUAAAAGUUCAAAGUUUCUAUACAAUUUGGAAGACUUAGAGACCUGUUAAUAAUGUUCAGAGUAAUACUGUAAAAAGAUACAAUGAUCAAAAAGUAAAAUCAUAAAAGUACUGAUCUCCGAGGAAAAUUCAAAACGAAAAGUUUAUUAUCAAAUGGAAAAAAAAAAUCAAAGGAUAAAACACAUCAAACGAAUGGACAAGUUAACAACUGUUAUAUUCUUGACUUGGUACAGACAUUUUCAAAUUUAGAAAAUGGUGGAUUUAAUCUGGUUUUAUAGCGCUGAACCUCUCACUUGUAUGACAGUCGCAUCAUAGAUUAACAAAUUUAAAUCACUGAAAUUCUUUACAACAGGUUAAAGGGUUAUAAAAUGUUAUUGACAGGAUGCUUUUAAAAACUUAUAAUCAUGAUCGGUAUCAAAUUAUUUGAAUGAAAAACUAAACUUAUACCAGUUUUGAAAAGAUGAUUAACCAAAACAAAAAGUACCAAAGACAAACACAGAGAUUAUAGCUAACAUCAGGAAAAUACAUUCCUUAAUUCAUAUGAUAAUAAAAAUCUUCAAAUAAAUACAGUAAACACAGUAUAAAAAGCAAAAAUAAAGACUGAGAAACACACCCCAAACGAGUCUAUGGGUGAUCUCCGAUUCUCUGGAAGUGAAGGCAGUUCCCUAUUUAUAUAUAAAAUAUUUUGAACCGGAAUUCUAUAUUUUCCGUUCUUUACCUAAUUUUCACACUUAACAGAAGUCGCUUUAACUUAAAUGAAAUGUUUUCACCAAAGUUUUUCAAAUUGAUUUGUAUUGAUUUCUGAACACGAAAUCCCCCCUCCCAAACAAUUAAAUAGCUUUGAAGUCUGUGACAUCACACUUAUCAGCAUUUCGUACUAGGGUCUCAAGUCAAACAAAAGAAUGUGAAUGAACUUACAACGAAUAAGAAAACAUAUAUUUCCAUAUACACUACAUGGAAUUAAGUACACAUGUCAAUGUAAGAAAGUAAAAAUACAUAUUGAGGAUGAUAGAGUUUCUCUGCUGAUAUAUAAUAAGUCAAAAGAAGUGUUAUAUCCAUAAUUAAAUAUUAUAGUUUCUCUAAUUCUAUGGAAAUAUAUCCCUUUCCGAACCAAUUGUAUAAAAAAAUUUAAUCAACGUGUGGUUGCCGGUGAUCUCAGAAGAUGAUUGGCUGAGUCAAAGGGUCAUAACCUUUCUCAGCUCCCUGAAUUUAACAAAAUGUUCUGACAGGUGUUAAUUAAAUUGACAACUUUGUGGGAAGUGGAAGGCACUCGAAGG
RNAcentral lists this long non-coding RNA (4713 nucleotides) under Mytilus galloprovincialis (Mediterranean mussel). The record is from RNAcentral. Lineage: Eukaryota; Metazoa; Mollusca; Bivalvia; Mytilida; Mytilidae.